RNAcentral lists this ribosomal RNA (90 nucleotides) under Alexandrium minutum. RNAcentral describes it as "partial Bacterial small subunit ribosomal RNA". Lineage: Eukaryota; Dinophyceae; Gonyaulacales; Pyrocystaceae. The record is from RNAcentral.
CUCGCUCGGGGAGCUUGACGGCGAGGAAGACGCCCACCGAGGCGCCGACGAGAGUGGCGAGGGGGGUGAGGAUGAACAACCACACCAGAC